AUGGCUCAGAUUGAACGCUGGCGGCAGGCCUAACACAUGCAAGUCGAGCGGAUGACGGGAGCUUGCUCCCUGAUUCAGCGGCGGACGGGUGAGUAAUGCCUAGGAAUCUGCCUGGUAGUGGGGGACAACGUCUCGAAAGGGACGCUAAUACCGCAUACGUCCUACGGGAGAAAGCAGGGGACCUUCGGGCCUUGCGCUAUCAGAUGAGCCUAGGUCGGAUUAGCUAGUUGGUGAGGUAAUGGCUCACCAAGGCGACGAUCCGUAACUGGUCUGAGAGGAUGAUCAGUCACACUGGAACUGAGACACGGUCCAGACUCCUACGGGAGGCAGCAGUGGGGAAUAUUGGACAAUGGGCGAAAGCCUGAUCCAGCCAUGCCGCGUGUGUGAAGAAGGUCUUCGGAUUGUAAAGCACUUUAAGUUGGGAGGAAGGGUUGUAGAUUAAUACUCUGCAAUUUUGACGUUACCGACAGAAUAAGCACCGGCUAACUCUGUGCCAGCAGCCGCGGUAAUACAGAGGGUGCAAGCGUUAAUCGGAAUUACUGGGCGUAAAGCGCGCGUAGGUGGUUUGUUAAGUUGGAUGUGAAAGCCCCGGGCUCAACCUGGGAACUGCAUUCAAAACUGACAAGCUAGAGUAUGGUAGAGGGUGGUGGAAUUUCCUGUGUAGCGGUGAAAUGCGUAGAUAUAGGAAGGAACACCAGUGGCGAAGGCGACCCACCUGGACUGAUACUGA
RNAcentral lists this ribosomal RNA (730 nucleotides) under uncultured Pseudomonas sp. RNAcentral describes it as "bacterial SSU rRNA". It matches the Rfam family "Bacterial small subunit ribosomal RNA", at positions 19 to 743 of the family's 1533-position model. Lineage: Bacteria; Pseudomonadati; Pseudomonadota; Gammaproteobacteria; Pseudomonadales; Pseudomonadaceae. The record is from RNAcentral.